GCCCGGAUGGCGGAACAGGCAGACGCAGGGGGCUUAAACCCCCCGGAGGGCAACCUCUUGCGGGUUCGAUUCCCGCUCCGGGCACCA
Molecule: transfer RNA, 87 nt
Filed under: Acidimicrobium sp.
Lineage: Bacteria; Bacillati; Actinomycetota; Acidimicrobiia; Acidimicrobiales; Acidimicrobiaceae
Also listed under: 5 other names
Description: tRNA-Leu
Rfam family: tRNA
About the family: Transfer RNA (tRNA) molecules are approximately 80 nucleotides in length. Their secondary structure includes four short double-helical elements and three loops (D, anti-codon, and T loops).
Source: RNAcentral